AGUGAACGCUGGCGGUAGGCCUAACACAUGCAAGUCGAACGGCAGCACAGUAAGAGCUUGCUCUUACGGGUGGCGAGUGGCGGACGGGUGAGGAAUACAUCGGAAUCUACUUUUUCGUGGGGGAUAACGUAGGGAAACUUACGCUAAUACCGCAUACGACCUACGGGUGAAAGCAGGGGAUCUUCGGACCUUGCGCGAUUGAAUGAGCCGAUGUCGGAUUAGCUAGUUGGCGGGGUAAAGGCCCACCAAGGCGACGAUCCGUAGCUGGUCCGAGAGGAUGAUCAGCCACACUGGAACUGAGACACGGUCCAGACUCCUACGGGAGGCAGCAGUGGGGAAUAUUGGACAAUGGGCGCAAGCCUGAUCCAGCCAUACCGCGUGGGUGAAGAAGGCCUUCGGGUUGUAAAGCCCUUUUGUCGGGAAAGAAAAGCAGCAGGUUAAUACCCCGCUGUUCUGACGGUACCCAAAGAAUAAGCACCGGCUAACUUCGUG
This 492-nucleotide ribosomal RNA is filed under the name uncultured bacterium. RNAcentral describes it as "partial 16S ribosomal RNA". It matches the Rfam family "Bacterial small subunit ribosomal RNA", at positions 29 to 507 of the family's 1533-position model. The record is from RNAcentral.